RNAcentral lists this transfer RNA (81 nucleotides) under Heterobasidion irregulare TC 32-1. It matches the Rfam family "tRNA". Rfam says of the family: Transfer RNA (tRNA) molecules are approximately 80 nucleotides in length. Their secondary structure includes four short double-helical elements and three loops (D, anti-codon, and T loops). The record is from Rfam by way of RNAcentral. Lineage: Eukaryota; Fungi; Basidiomycota; Agaricomycetes; Russulales; Bondarzewiaceae.
GGCGCUAUAGUGUAGUGGUUAUCACUCAGGAUUCUGAUAUCCAAAAUUCCUGGAACCCAGGUUCGAGCCCUGGUAGCGCCU